This is a long non-coding RNA of Alnus glutinosa, 897 nucleotides long. RefSeq lists it as uncharacterized. NCBI's taxonomy places the organism in Eukaryota, Viridiplantae, Streptophyta, Magnoliopsida, Fagales, Betulaceae. The transcript has 3 exons. The record is from RefSeq and is a predicted model, not a curated record.
UAAGUCUAUAUCCUACUUUCCAGCACCUUCUUUCUCUUCCUCUAUUAUUUUAUAAUCCCAUUUGUUCCUUAAAUUCCUUCUUCUUCGGUUCUCUUCUUCACCGAGGCACAGUGAGAGUUGAAGACCACCAAACUAACCGAUAGAGAGAGAGACCUGAAGAGAGUGUGUGCGUGUGAGUGACCCAGUCAGUGCUUGCAUGAACCCAUGCAACCUGACCUCAACAGCUCGUCCAACCCAGCAACUUCAUCUCCCAACCCGUAGAACCCAGCUCGGACCACAGCAAGCGCCACCCGUGACUGCUCUGGCCAAAACAGAACCCAUCAAGUGACCAAACCAUACGUGCAUGAGCCCAGCAUCACGACCCCAGCCAGCAAGAUACUGAACCACCAAGAGAAUCCAGUAACAACGCAAGAUCAUAUGACCCCAGCAAGCUUGAAGCCAGAACUACCCGAAACCUGUGCAACCCAGCCGUGAACCCGACGAACCCAGUUCUGCCGCAACACCCAGGAAGUCAUCUGAAUAACAACAAUCACAAGAUGAUGAACUGAGACUGCAUAAAAAGGACUAUGACUGUGCAGGCACAGACACUGACGAGUAUCAAGAUUAUCAGGAGCCUUAUGAUGAUUCUGGUUUCAUAGAUGAGACUGUCUAAAGUCUCCUUUUUUAUGAUAGACUUGUUGAACAGUUUAUCUUCCAUGUCGUUAUUAGGUUUUAUUUUAUGUACUUUCUAGACAUCUUAUGCUUCAUUUUAUGGUUUGUAAUAUGACUACUAUUAUAUAGGACGUGAGCCGUAGUGGCCCUUAUGUUAUUGCUUUUGUGUGUAUUUAUUUGUAAGACCUUUUAUUAUUAUUUUAAUGUAAGUUGAGGUAUUUCAAAUAAAGCUCUAUGUGUGUUGAA